RNAcentral lists this ribosomal RNA (250 nucleotides) under uncultured bacterium. Its description in RNAcentral is "partial 16S ribosomal RNA". It matches the Rfam family "Bacterial small subunit ribosomal RNA", at positions 524 to 773 of the family's 1533-position model. The record is from RNAcentral.
UACGAAGGGGGCGAGCGUUGUUCGGAAUUACUGGGCGUAAAGGGCGCGUAGGCGGUGUGUCAAGUCAGGCGUGAAAGCCCCGGGCUCAACCUGGGAACGGCGCUUGAGACUGGCACGCUCGAGUUCGGGAGAGGAUGGUGGAAUUCCCAGUGUAGAGGUGAAAUUCGUAGAUAUUGGGAAGAACACCGAUGGCGAAGGCAGCCAUCUGGACCGACACUGACGCUGAGGCGCGAAAGCGUGGGGAGCAAAC